GACGAACGCUGGCGGCGUGCUUAACACAUGCAAGUCGAACGGAAAGGCCCUGCUUUUGUGGGGUGCUCGAGUGGCGAACGGGUGAGUAACACGUGAGUAACCUGCCCUUGACUUUGGGAUAACUUCAGGAAACUGGGGCUAAUACCGGAUAGGAGCUCCUGCUGCAUGGUGGGGGUUGGAAAGUUUCGGCGGUUGGGGAUGGACUCGCGGCUUAUCAGCUUGUUGGUGGGGUAGUGGCUUACCAAGGCUUUGACGGGUAGCCGGCCUGAGAGGGUGACCGGCCACAUUGGGACUGAGAUACGGCCCAGACUCCUACGGGAGGCAGCAGUGGGGAAUAUUGCACAAUGGGCGGAAGCCUGAUGCAGCAACGCCGCGUGCGGGAUGACGGCCUUCGGGUUGUAAACCGCUUUCGCCUGUGACGAAGCGUGAGUGACGGUAAUGGGUAAAGAAGCACCGGCUAACUACGUGCCAGCAGCCGCGGUGAUACGUAGGGUGCGAGCGUUGUCCGGAUUUAUUGGGCGUAAAGGGCUCGUAGGUGGUUGAUCGCGUCGGAAGUGUAAUCUUGGGGCUUAACCCUGAGCGUGCUUUCGAUACGGGUUGACUUGAGGAAGGUAGGGGAGAAUGGAGUUCCUGGUGGAGCGGUGGAAUGCGCAGAUAUCAGGAGGAACACCAGUGGCGAAGGCGGUUCUCUGGGCCUUUCCUGACGCUGAGGAGCGAAAGCGUGGGGAGCGAACAGGCUUAGAUACCCUGGUAGUCCACGCUGUAAACGGUGGGUACUAGGUGUGGGGUCCAUUCCACGGGUUCCGUGCCGUAGCUAACGCUUUAAGUACCCCGCCUGGGGAGUACGGCCGCAAGGCUAAAACUCAAAGGAAUUGACGGGGCCCCGCACAAGCGGCGGAGCAUGCGGAUUAAUUCGAUGCAACGCGUAGAACCUUACCUGGGUUUGACAUGGAUCGGGAGCGCUCAGAGAUGGGUGUGCCUCUUUUGGGGUCGGUUCACAGGUGGUGCAUGGCUGUCGUCAGCUCGUGUCGUGAGAUGUUGGGUUAAGUCCCGCAACGAGCGCAACCCUUGUUCACUGUUGCCAGCACGUUAUGGUGGGGACUCAGUGGAGACCGCCGGGGUCAACUCGGAGGAAGGUGGGGAUGACGUCAAGUCAUCAUGCCCCUUAUGUCCAGGGCUUCACGCAUGCUACAAUGGCUGGUACAGAGAGUGGCGAGCCUGUGAGGGUGAGCGAAUCUCGGAAAGCCGGUCUCAGUUCGGAUUGGGGUCUGCAACUCGACCUCAUGAAGUCGGAGUCGCUAGUAAUCGCAGAUCAGCAACGCUGCGGUGAAUACGUUCCCGGG
RNAcentral lists this ribosomal RNA (1343 nucleotides) under uncultured bacterium. RNAcentral describes it as "16S ribosomal RNA". It matches the Rfam family "Bacterial small subunit ribosomal RNA", at positions 28 to 1378 of the family's 1533-position model. The record is from RNAcentral.